AGCAGCCGCGGUAAUUCCAGCUCCAAUAGCGUAUAUUAAAGUUGUUGCAGUUAAAAAGCUCGUAGUUGAAUUUCGGGAUUAGUAGGUUGGUCGUGCCUCUGGUAUGUACUCGCCUUACUGGUUCCUCCUUCUUGAAGAACUGUAAUGCCAUUAAUUUGGUGUUGCAGGGAAACAGGACUGUUACUUUGAAAAAAUUAGAGUGUUUAAAGCAGGCCGACGCCUGAAUACAUUAGCAUGGAAUAAUGAAAUAGGACGUUGAUCCUAUUUUGUUGGUUUCUAGGAUUGACGUAAUGAUUAAUAGGGAUAGUUGGGGGCAUUAGUAUUCAAUUGUCAGAGGUGAAAUUCUUGGAUUUAUUGAAGACUAACUACUGCGAAAGCAUUUGCCAAGGAUGUUUUCAUUAAUCAAGAACGAGAGUUAGGGGAUCGAAGACGAUCAGAUACCGUCGUAGUCUUAACCAUAAACUAUGCCGACUAGGGAUCGG
Molecule: ribosomal RNA, 482 nt
Filed under: uncultured Glomus
Lineage: Eukaryota; Fungi; Glomeromycota; Glomeromycetes; Glomerales; Glomeraceae
Description: SSU rRNA
Rfam family: Eukaryotic small subunit ribosomal RNA
Source: RNAcentral